This 446-nucleotide ribosomal RNA is filed under the name uncultured bacterium. Its description in RNAcentral is "partial 16S ribosomal RNA". It matches the Rfam family "Bacterial small subunit ribosomal RNA", at positions 338 to 795 of the family's 1533-position model. The record is from RNAcentral.
CCUACGGGAGGCAGCAGUCGAGAAUCAUUCACAAUGGGGGAAACCCUGAUGGUGCGACGCCGCGUGGGGGAAUGAAGGUCUUCGGAUUGUAAACCCCUGUCAUGUGGGAGCAAAUUAAAAAGAUAGUCCCACAAGAGGAAGAGAUGGCUAACUCUGUGCCAGCAGCCGCGGUAAUGCAGAGGUCUCAAGCGUUGUUCGGAAUGACUGGGCGUAAAGCGUGCGGAGGCGGGUGCGUAAGUCGGGUGUGAAAGGCGCGGGCUCAACCCGCGGACGGCACAUGUUACUGCGAGACUAGAGUAAUGGAGAGGGAAGCGGAAUUCGCGGUGUAGCAGUGAAAUGCGUAGAUAUCGAGAGGAACACUCGUGGCGAAGGCGGGUUCCUGGACAUUAACUGACGCUGAGGCACGAAGGCGAGGGGAGCGAAAGGGAUUAGAUACCCCAGUAGUC